Molecule: long non-coding RNA, 1624 nt
Organism: Rhineura floridana
Lineage: Eukaryota; Metazoa; Chordata; Lepidosauria; Squamata; Rhineuridae
Exons: 4
Source: RefSeq, a predicted model, not a curated record
UGAAACCGCAGCCUGUUCUGGAACAAAUUUGAUGCAGCUGAAGUGAGGUCUUGGUGGGUUUUCAACAUGCCAGACUCUUGGAUUUCAUUCAUAUCCUGGGGGGAAAGUUAUGAUGCCAUUUGAAGAGGCUGGACUGGAGUUGGUGAGAUGUACAGCUCAUUAAUCAUGAUGUGGCAGGUGGCAAUCACUCUAACAUAACCAGGGGGAGGAGGCUGCUGAAGAUUAUCUCCGGGUUCACAACAUCUCUCUGUGUUCAGUUCCAUCAUGGAUGCCUGAAACAUAUUCAGUUGACCUAUUUGCCACCAGUGAGGUCCAUUCCAGGCAGGAAGAAAAAGGUGCAUGGAUUCAAAAAGCAGUUUUUGGCAGAAUGGCUGCUCCGAGCAACUCUUUUUACCAAGGGGAAAAGCAGAGUGCACACACGCAUACUGAAGAAAUGAAACAAAGUGCAGCAGUGGAGGCUGGUGUAUUAGGGCAAAUGGGACACUGCCCCACCAAGCUCUGCCUGCCCUCUGCCAGCCCCCACGUGCCUACCUCCUUACUUACAACCAGUCCAGCAGGUGGCAAUGGCUGUCAGCCUCCUCUUCCUGAGCUGUCAGUGUUGCCUUUGUAAACUCAGCAAGGAGCAGGAUGGGGACAAAACUGGAAUGAGUUGGCUCUGCUUGUCAUUGGCUCUGGUUCCACCAAUCAUUUUCUUUGGCUCCACCUACUUUUGGCCUCCCUGCCUUCUCUUCUGUUGGUCCCAAUGAGCACUAGCCUCCACUGAAAUGCAAACUUGCAGAUUCCUCCUCCAGUGACAAAAUAUCUUAGGAGUACUGAGGGAAGCUGAAGAGCCGGCCUAAGAUAUUUUCCUGCCUGAAGUGGAGCAGCAAAAUGUGCCCGCUUCCCCUUCCAAGUCAAGGUGUGGAGCACCCAAGGCCAGCCAAGCUUAUAUGGCUUCUGGAGCAGAAAUUCCCACAAGCACAUUAGUCCCAUCCUGCCAGUAAAAACAUAAUAACAAACCUAAAUAGCUAACAAUGUGCUGUCCUUUCAUUGCACCCACAAUCUUCUGCACGAGGCAGACGCUUCACUCUACCUAACAGAAGAGCUGGCCCUGAAAGCCAGGUGAGUUUUGAAAGACUAUUUACAUUUCUAAGGACUUGUGUGUGUGUUGUGCCCACCCAACCCCCUAAUUCUUAGCAGGUUUUGCCUAAAAUGGAAAUUUGAAGCGAACUCAAGGUGCUCUGAAAUUUCAGGGGCAAAUAUAUGACGAGCAAAAUUUCUUCUCACACAUGUCUGACUGGAAGUUAGGCGUUUUAGUGUCUCCUCAUCCUCAGCAGUUACAGGACUAUCUGUCCCAAGGGUCAGAUAUGGGAAGGCAGCAAAAUUAAGCAGUGCUUCUCUUUGGCCAGCCAAGCCUACAUUGUGCAAAACGUCCCCCCCCCCGUGCCUUCCUCGGUAUUGUCCUUCUCCGCAUCAUUUGUGGAAUCUAUGGCACAAGUCAUUACAUUUUUACAGACGGAAGCCAGUUUUCAUCAUACCCUGAAGAUCCACUUCUUUACCCUGGCCUUUGGCACUUGAGAUUUGUAGGACCUGUUCUUGUGAUUGUAAUCUGCUUUAAAUUGUUUUUAAUGUUGUAUUUUAAAUU